UUUUUUUAAUUUUUUUAAUCACGUCCAAUACGGACAUGAUUUGGGAUGCGGCCGCGCGGUGGCCGCACGCACGAUCCAACGGACAGAAUCAGACAUGGGCGAACCCAUUGCCGUUCCAAACAAACAAAAUCCGACUAAACCAGACGUUCGUUUGGGGUCGUGCGGUAAAGUUGGCCUUAUGAAAUGGAGUCCCAAGUGUGUUGUCCACCGG
RNAcentral lists this long non-coding RNA (211 nucleotides) under Hordeum vulgare. RNAcentral describes it as "long non-coding RNA (HVUL_LNC021493)". Lineage: Eukaryota; Viridiplantae; Streptophyta; Magnoliopsida; Poales; Poaceae. The record is from RNAcentral.